GUUAAAUUCAUUCACCUUGAGUUGCAUAAUGAUCAUGUGUGCAUUGAUCAAGGUGAUUAUAUUUACAAAUGCAACAUCAUUAAUAAAGAACAAGAGAAACCGCCAUCAAAGCAGAAACUCAAAGGUGAUAUCAGAGAAGAAAUGCUAAAUGUUAGGUAUGUUUUUUAAUCUUUUUUUUUAUUUAUUGCAGACCUGCUGUAGUUUGCUGUCAUUCAUCCUCAUCAUUACAAGUCUAUCCAGUCUGCCAUCUAACGUCAUGGAGAUUCUCUCCUACUUGGGACUAAUGGAGAAAGGUAAGACCUUUUAUUGCACACACUUUAUUUUGUCGUUUACGCUUUGAGCUGUUUUUGAAGUCACAAGGUUUUUGGGUUUUUUGCGCUGCCAACUUCUUGGGGUAAAAAAAGAGUCAAACAGUUUGUGUAUGAAUUUUUCCAAACCACUCAAGACAACUUUACUGAAGAAAAGAAAAGACAAAAGUCAAAUAUAUAAAACAAAUGCUAUGUUUUAUACACCAAUUAAUCACACAGAUUUGUACAGUUUGAUAACACAUGAUGAACUUGUUUUCAAAUAAGCAGUAACCUCUCAGAGAUUUAUGCCUGUGUAAGACAUUCAAAGUGGAAAACGAAGCAUUUGCAAAACAGAAUGCAGACAAAUAAAUGGUUAAAUGGGCGAGAUGUCUGAGCCAGAAAACUUUUAAUAUGCUGUGAUUGUUGUUGCCAGACGGCGCAGUUAAGCUAUCUCAGAAAAUCAGAUUCUCAAAUUAGAUUUUCAUGCACUAAAGUGUCUGGUUAGAUAAGAGAGGAACACGUAUUUAGACGCUGUGGUAUUACUGCUGUAUACAUCCACAGAGCAAACAUUUAUACUUUAGACAUUCAGCUAAUGCACUUUUUUUAGACGGUUUACAAUAAGUGAAGUUUGAAGGAGGAAUGGCACCUUCUUGUCUGUGGAGUGUGUCUUUGUGUGUGUUAAUUCAGUUUGUGUUAUGCUUAGAGCAUCUCUGCAAGUUCUGCCGUCUGCUCAACACUGAGACAGAAGCACUUUAAUUAACCAGCACUGAAGGCGACACACACUCACACACACUUUCACCAGUUCCUUUCAUACCUGACUUUUAUUCUAGCUUUGCUUUUGCUCACUCACAUUCUCAAUCUCUGUCUCUCUCACUCUGUCUGUUACACACACACACACGCGCGCGCGCACACACACCGCAAUGAUUCCUUCAGAGUGCAGACGCAGGCAGAAACAGUCACUCUGAUAUUAUUAGACACUGCACUUUAGGAAGCCAGGUGAUUCAUGUUUUUAUUUGAGAACCAUAAAACAAUACAGUGUGAUUGCUGCGCCUGCUGUAGCUUCCUGUUGCAGGACACAGCAGAGACCUAUAAAUGACAGCUUUCACAUUACUCUUUGCCAUGUAAAAUCAACCAUAUUCAUCUGUAGAGCCACAGUUAAAGGGGCUUUUAAUACAGCUCUGACAGACGAAUUACACUGAUGAGCUGUGGUGAACACAGACGUCGCACAUUCAAAACUGUGUUACUUGUGUACAGGACAUGUCAGCUUUUCUAAAUGUGUAGUUUAUUCAUAAUGGUCUAAUGUGGAGCUGGACUACUGUUAUGUGUGAGACUUAUUCAAAUUUGGAGAAUUGUGAGUAUAAUGACACGGAGAUGGAGAGAGGAUUUUUGAUGAUGGCUAUAAGAACAUAAAAGAGUACAAAACCUUAAUAUUUAAAUCAUCUUUGUGAGUUAGUUAUCUGAAUUUUAAAAAAGAGAUUUAUUGUCAGCUCCUGCAGGCUCCUGCAUUGUUCACUGCAGGAUUAGCAGAAUAAAGGAGCAGAAUAGAGGAGCAAUCACAGGUGAAAAUGAAGAAGCAAUAACACAAGAGUUACUGAACUUUCCAUAGCCAUGAGUUUCUGAAUCAGUGUAACUAUCCAUUCUGCUAUGGACUGUACCCACUUGUGGAUGUCAAUGGGUGAUUUCAAUGCUUGUUCGGGUUAAUGGGAAGGGUGUGACAUCAGUCCUGUAAUGCCUACAUACAGGCAGUAGUUUUGACAGUCACUGCUGCAUUUGAAUGCAACACCAAAAUCAGCUGAUGUGAAAAGUUCAUGAAAACUUGACUCUAGGGCAGUGGAAAUGUCUUCUUUGGAUUCAGCAAGAAGAGGUUUGUUAAAGCCUGAUAUUUAACAACUAUCUGAAAUGUAAUUUAAAAAAUAUUAUGAAACCUAAAAUGUAAUAACUGACUCAAAAGAUACUGAGCCCAAAAUGUAAUAACUUGUUUCAUUUUGGGUUUUAUUACCCUAUUAAUUAUAAUUUGGGUCGUUGUUACAUUACAGGUCAUUAUUACAUAUCCGUUUUUAACAAGGCUGAUGUGUAAAGAUUUGAUUGGUUUGCAUUGUGUCCUACUCCAUACCUCAGUAUGUUGAACGUCCUUGUGGAGAGUUUAAACUGAUGAAUUAAGCCAGUCAUCAAUGACUUGGCAGACAAACCACCAAUUAGAACCUGCCUUCAUCUGAAUGCCCACACUUUCACCAUGGGAUGUUUGUCAAUGUUAGGUUCACAGUAAUUUCUGAAGUCUGAUAAUAGGUGUACACCCAGUGGUACAGUAUAGGUUAUUCCCACAUACAAAUUACACACUUAUGUAUGUAAUGCUCGAUUCUCUGUAAGUCAUUUGGAAUCAUAUUUUCUGCAUGUCAUACUGACAUCUAAGAAAAUCUGAAUCAUCUAAAUGCACAUUGUCCUUCAUUAUACCAGUGAAAAUAUUUGUCUCGUACAUAUUGAGAUCUUUUACAGAAGCAUUACUGGCAGUCCACAGCGUUAAGUCAUCUCAAGAGUACUUCUUAGCAGGAGUGCCUUCUCUUUCACCACUCUACCCUCAAGGCCAACGUAUGGGAGUGCUUCUGCUUCUUCUAUCUCAACAGAGCAACCCUGAAGCUCUGUUUGAGAGGCUGUCGGCUGCUUGCGUCGCCACUCUCUGAAAGACUCCUCUUUCUCCAGACAAACUCAUGCAUUGAGGCGGGAGGUCUCCGAGUUUCAGAGGUUUUUGACUUCUUCCAUUUUCAAAGAUGGAAUCUGUCGAGCUCUGAGUAUUAUCCUCAACCCAACUCUUCCACAAGUCCACAGAGACUUUUAGAUUGAAUUUUGCUUUUGGACAUUUUCCAUCAAGUUUUUAUGGUCAGUUCAACAGUCCAGUGACUUACACUUGCUAAAGGUGGAGGCAUGUGAUAGAAAGUUCAGUACAUCUUCAUUUCAAAAUACUGUAUACUGAAUACUCUAGGAGAAAGGUUUGAGAAAUGACUAUACUCACAAAAAGAGCUUCAAGGGGCUCUUGAAACUUAUCUUGUGUUUGCAUGUGGUGUCUGUGGAAAAGGCACCAAAUCUUCACACUAGGAUAAGCUGAAUAUCAUGAAUGAUUUUGAAACAGUCCUAACAUGUUUUUCUUCACUGAGAGCAGACUGGGAUGUGUGUCUUGGGCUGCACUGGCCUUGAACUAGCUUGGUAAAAAACAAAUAUAUCACUUGACCUCUACAGGUCAGCUUAUCGCAGAUACAGUCUCUGAUCAGUCAAAGCAAUGAAGGCCGCCUCUAUGCAGCAUUGUUAGCUAACAACAGAAAUAACCAAUAUUCAUACAUAAAACAUUCAUAUUGGGUCCGAUCAGUCUCUGUAAAGACAUGGAUCCUCAUUGUGGAUUAGAAAAUCCCCUAGAUGUCACAUAAACAUACACAGUUGCCGGAAGUGAGUAGAUAUUAUAUUAAGUCACAACUCAAACUAGGGCUGCAUGAAAAAAAAAAAACUAACAACAACUUUUCUGCAAUGUAUGUUGGAAAUGAAACAAAAGCAGAAAUUAAAUACCAGAUUAAUGCAGUUCUUUAAGUGCUCAUAAAAACAUCAAUAACACAACAAUGGACUGGUCUUCCUCUAACCAGUCAGAACAGAUAAGUUCAACAAUAAAUUCUGUCUGUCUUUAGCUAACAUUGAGGCGGAAAACAAAUUGUACUGUAUACAGUGGGUCAACUUAAUUAUCCAGCCAAUGUUAGCCUGUGUACUUUUUCAUAGACAAACGACCUGACAGCAAAGUUAAUAUUCAUGUAUUGGUUGAAAAUAGCCCCUUUGAGAAAUUUAUAGUUAAGUUCAUAAAAAGUUCAUAUAAUUAGAAAAUUGAUGGAGAAGUUAAAACAUUCCAUCUAAAUAGAACUUUGGUUAGUGCCUUCAAUGAAACAGUGCAGUUUUUCUUGACCCUGCCUCUUAAAAGGAUCAGAAUCGAGAAUCGUCUGGAACCAAAAUCGAAAUGAGGAAUCGGAAUCGUUCAAGAUCAAACGAUGCCCAACCCUAGAGACAAUCCUUCUUUUUCCAGAUGUAGUUAAUGCAGAUUAAAAUCCAGUCUUGUGUCAACACAGCACAUUCACACAUAAACAUAACAUGUUAACCGCUCUGCAUGGAAAGUUUCAGUCUGAUAUAUUUUGCGAAAGUGUAACCACUUUCAACUACUUUGUGUAUUUUUGGGGUAUUUUGACUUUUCUUGUCCAGCACACAUUAUUCACAGGCAGCUGGUGGCUGUCGGCUUCACUUUAAGGUGUUUGUGUCAUCACCCAGCAUGCCCACACACUCACACACACACACACACACACACACACACACACACACACUGAAACAUCACUAACCCUGACACACAACCGACAGCGUGUCCCUGUCCCCUUGUCACACAACCCCUGGCCCCACCUCAGUCUGUUCCCUUAGCUCGCCACUUCCCCACCACCACCCUCUCUCCCUUUUCUUUCUGUGUGUGUGUGUGUGUGUGUGUGUGUGUGUGUGCAGCGAUAAACAUAUCUGUGUGGCUCGAUGUGUGUGUUGGAGUGUGGGUACGCACACGUCUCCCUCUCCGGUCUGAAAUAUGGCUGUGUCUGCCCAGUCUGUAUAUCUUGACUCUUCCCUUUAGCAGAAAACCUUGGUAGCUGCUGAUGGAAGAAGCAGCACCACAAAUAGCUCUGAGACACAACACUCUAACAGGUCACAACAACACAGAGGAGGCGUGCACUCACUGACAUUCAGGGACUUCAUUCUUGCACUGUAUUUCUCCGACAAGAGAAUCUUGUGAUCAGAGUGGCCAGUUUUGACUACAAUAAAUUUGAUCAAACUUGCAGUAAACACAUCACAAGUGUCUGAAUUCCCCACAGUAAAUAACAACAGUUAUUUUAUGUACAGAGGCGAUACUUUCUCACUCAGCAUGUAAAAACUUCCAACUAUUGCAUUGAAUAACAACAGCGGGGGGGUUAACAAAAACACAAGAACUUCACUCAAAGUAGUCCAGGUCCAAACUGUGUGGUUUUGAUCAUUCCCCCCCUUGAAAGCUACCUUGUUGCAAAGAGUAAAUAUUUCCCUCCUAUUAUUGAGAAAUGUCUGUUAUCAAAAUCUUUGCAGAUGUUACAUUUCCUGCAGUUUUCAGUCCGAUUGAUUAAUUAAAAAUGAAGCUAUUGUCACAUUGUCAGCUACAUUUGAGUUUCACUUCGGCAUCACCAGGAGCUUUACUUUUAUAACAAACCCCCCACAUUAACAUCUACCACAGUGAUAAUUAAGAACUUUUAAAAAUCAAAUUUAAAAUCAACAAACUAAGGAAGUCAUUUUAUUGUUUGCCUUGUACAACAGAAUUAUGACUCUUGUUAGAUGAGGAAUAAAGAACAGCACAUUACCUGCAGCCCCCACACAUAAUGUCUGUGUGACACUCCUCCUUUCAGUGAAAUCUUGUCUUUUUUAUGGAAAUACAAUCAGACCGAGACGCUAAGGCAGAAGAGCUAACGUGUCUGCAGUGCAAAAUGGUUAAUAUGGUGAUUACCACUUUAAGGAAAUGAUAAAGAAAUGAUCAUAAAUGUUCUUCCUUGAGCUGCGGCACCCCGCUGUAGUUGGUAAUGGACUGGCCUGAGGUCUCGCUACAAACAAGCGGCUGCUGGAGGAAAAUCGGUAAGUGUUGAUGAAGUUAGGUGCUGUUCUGAGCAUUAUUUGUGGCUAUAGAGUGGUGUUUUGGUUGAGGUUUGCACGUGGAUCCAUAGACUGCUGUGUAUUGCUAUCGUGCAGUUGUUGCUGAAGUUGGUAUAACUAGAGAAGCAAGCGAUCGGUAACAUUCAUCUCUCAAGGGGGUGUCUAACUCGGUGUUACAGUGUGUUUGACCCCAACUCAAUUUUAUGUCAGAAUAUCCCUUUAAUCCAGAGUUGAGACACUCUACAGGUGACAAAGUGUGGUCUCACUGUAAAACACAGAAUCUAGAAAACUUUCAAAGUUAUGGAAAAAAGAAGGAAUCACGGGAAAAUGUGAAAUAGAUUUCAUAGAGACCAGAAGACAAGAACUCUGUGGUUUCACAUGUGGGAUAUGACAUGUGAUGGCAGGCCGUUGUUGUGUCUGUGAAAAGUGGCUCAUCCGUUUUUCAAAGUGUCAUUGUGUUUCACAGCGAGACAGGAUUGACUCUGUCCUCACUCCUCGUAUGCGCCGUUCUCUCAUUAGUGCCACCACGGGCUGCCAGGGCUUUAUUGGAGAGCACUUGACAGGUCACUGAGUGUUAACAUCUAAUGAGAGCAUUGCACAGUAAUCUUCAAUGUGUCACUCCGGCUCUUCAGCAGCAUAGUGAUGACUGGAGGAUGAUUGUGUAGGAUUAUGUAGAAAAUGGACCCACUCAGGUAAAGUCCCCUCAAAUCUCUCACUCUCCGCUGGCCUGCAGCUUGUAACCUGAUGAAAUCAAUUAUCAGUUCCCUCGCUCAGAUCACUGUCUGACUGGUAACGGUGAAAGAGCUGGAGACGUGGCAAGUAAAACUUUAAACAAACAAACAAAAAAAAUCAAGCAACAACUAAUUAUUCUAUCUGGAGGAAUAGAGUGACAGACCGCUCUUUACGUGGGAUGUCUGUAAUGAAAUACAGACACUCACGGUGUUCACACACAGGGGCUGUCAAGAUAUCGAACCAGAGGCCCCGGAAACCUCCCAUGGCUGCUUCAGAAACAGGAUGCACCCAUCAGCCUGGAGCGAUUCUUUCUGAGUGUUUGUGCAUUUAUUCGUGUCUGAGAGUUUGACUGUGUGCUUGGCUGUAUGCACGUCUUACAUACAUGUUCAUGCAUCUGAAUACAUCAGCUGACUUGUUGCAUUUCUCAUGUUAGAGGGGGGAAAUCAGCCCAAUGCAAAUGAAGUUAUCUUUCAUCUGUUUACUUCUCUUUGUGUGCACCAGGGAGAUCUGGAUCUUUUAGGAGAAGCUUCUGUUAUUGCAACCCAGUAGUGCUAGAGGGAGCCCUUCUCCAUUUCACCCACUGACAGCAGUGAGAAAAUACCCCAAAAACACUCUCACAUGCCCCCCCCUCCCAUCAGCCUUCUAUGCAGCCAGCGGGGCGACCGGGCCAAGGCCAGUCCAGCCCUUCAGCCACAGUGAUGGGCUCGGACGCCCCAGGGGACCAGAGGGGGACUUGCAGGGGCCUGAGCUGUGGUCAGCUACAGGGUGGGACAAAGAGCGGGGAUGCUGAAUGCAAUCUGACCCUGUCACUCAUGCAGUGGUAACACCGACGGGAGAGAAGGUUGAAGUGAAGGAGGGAAAAUCGAGAGAGCGAAAGACGUGGGGAGUCGGACAAAGAUGGAGAGCGAGGCAGAGGUCGUUGCAGGGCUGAACGGAUUCAUCAAUACAGUAAAAGGAAAGAAAGAAAAAGAUUCGAGCCUGGAAUUAUUUUGGGUCAGUCCAAAAAAAAUGUGCCACUUUGCAGAUUGGGUGUUUAGUGUAAAAACCCAAGGUCUAAAGCGGGGCUGCAGUCUGGGUGCUGAAAAGCCAUUCUCUGAAUUCUGUUCUUUAAAUGGGGAGAAAUAUUGAUCUGGCUCAGCUGGCCCUGUAGUGCUCUGUGUACAUGUGUGUGCGCGCGUGUGUGUGUGUGUGUGUGAGGCUUUGUCUUUUAGGGCCCAGUGGGGGUGGCGGUGGGGUGUUACCAUGGAUACGGCCUCACCCCCCCCCACCCCCUCCCAUGCAACCCCCUACACCUCUAACGCACACAUGUACAUAUACACCCACACAUACAUGCACUGCAACAACCGAGGCUUUAGGUGUAAAACACACAACUAUAAACACACACUCUUUAAGGCCUCCGGUCAAAAGAUGGAGAAAUUUCUCAAGGCGUUUCUGGAUGUGUCACACUCGUGCAUGCACAGAUAAGGAUAAAAACUGCGCCCUAAGGCUACACAAAGCACACACAGACGCACACACGUACACACACACACACACACACAGGAAGGUCCAAGGAAACAGACAAUCAUGGUGAAAAAAAACUGCAGAACACUAAUGUGCGACACAGACUCAUCCCUCAUCAUUUCCUUUCAAUUUACCCUCUUUGUCUCAUCUCCCCUCAAUACACUCCUCUUUUCACUCACACACACACAGACACACACAUACACACCAUAAGGAUGCCCUCUCCAUUUCUUGUACCUUCAGCCAUUCAUAUGUACUUACACACUAAUGGAAGCAGCUAUAAUGUGUCUUAACUGCAGGUAUUUUGUUAUGUUUAAAUGCAAACUAGCGGCACAGCAGUGACACACACAGACACACACAGACCCACACACACACCUGUCUUGUGGGAAUGAGACAGGAGGGGAGGGGAUCAGAGUGGUUUACUGCCAGGUAACUGAUAUAAAUACCCCUCAUUACAAUGGUGACAGGGGUUUCUUCUCUCCUCUGGCAAAAUAGCAUCAUUAAGGAUACAGACACACACACACACACAUGCAAAAGUUACAAGGCACAUGUGCAGAAAAACAAAGAUACACACACACAGAAACACACUGCUGACUUAGAAUCAGGUAAUGAUGGAGGUAACAUGAUGAGGCAGAAACAAACAAAUAAAUAUAUGCAUAACGAACACACAGCAGCGUUCACUGCGAAUACAUGUCCUCCUAACUGCAUGACGAUGACGCUGUAGCUAAUGACAGAUCGAGGAGGGUUUCUCGGGGUUGUUAUGAGGCAGGAAGUCGCAGUGCUAGCCGACACAGGGAGAUCAAUACGCCCAGGGUCAGUUACAAUAUUUAGGGUCACAUGACUCCAGGACCAAAAUAAAUCAGGAUGUGAAAUAUUGUUAGGGUGGAUGCCGGGACGGGCCUCCGUCUGAAAUGAGUGCGAGUAAGGAGAGGGAAGAGAUGAGAGCAGGACAAAGAGAAAGGGGGGUAAGAUUUUUUAGGAUUGGACAAAACAUUUCAGGUGAUGUAAAAAUGUAAGAUUGUGGUGGGAUUAAAAUGGGGUUCAGGGAAUUUUACAAAACACGUUUCUAGCACAUCUCAGGAAUCAUUUUUAAAGGACACAUUCAGGCAAACAGUAAACCAUACUGUUUUUAUAGUUUAGGAAAAUUGAAGAAAUGUGGAUGACUACUUUACUUCUCAUAAUUGAGAUCUGUGAAUAUUAGAGGGAAUAUGGAGGAGCUCAUUAGUUGCAGCCCAGGCAGUCCUCUGUCUUCUUGGCUGAUAGUUUUAUCAUACAAGUUGUUUUCAGAUUGAAAUUGAUUCAAAGUUGCUCAGUUAUUUCUUAUUUUUCUCUUCCUAUGCAAGGGUGGGAGAAAAAAUCGAUACAGGAUAGUAUCGCGAUAUUUUGUCAGGUGAUAUAUUGUAUCAUCUCAUCCACCAAGUAUCCAUUUUUCAAAUUAUAAGAUAAUAUGAACUCAAAUCUAUGAUGUUUGUCCAGUGAGGUUGGCAGAGGUAACGUUAUAGAGCAGAAGGAAGUUAGUGCAACAAAUAUAUUUAAGGUUGGCUAGAUGUGCAACAUGAAAAUAAAAUACAGUGUAAAUAAGACAAACAUAAAGGAAAGACAAAUGCUAAAUUAGCUAAACAGUUGAAAAAUUGUAUGAAUUGCAGUCAGUUGUAUUGCAAUACUCACUGUAUUGCAAAAUGAUAAAAAUUGCAAUAAUAUCGUAUCGUGGGGCCACUGAUGAUUCCCACCCCUAUUCCUACCGUUGUAUACAACAUAAUACCUUGUUUUUCUCAAUACAAUGUACUGUAACAAAUGUGUAUGUGACACAAAAUGUAACAUUUUGAUUGGUAAAAAAAAACAUGUUUCAUUGAAUACACAGUUUUAAUUGGUGAAUCCAUAACAAAACAUUUUAAAUCUUACAUGAUGCAUUUAAAUGGAAAAGUUGCUGAAAUUUCGUCUCCGUUUUCAUCCUCUUACCCUUGAUUCGUCCAAAAUGUUAACUCAGGUCAGAUCAAAUAUGACUCGUUAAUUUCUGCGAUGAGGAGGUUGGCUGUUUUGCUGAGUAAUGACCCUGCCAUCCAAACACACCUCUGACAGCUGCAUAGAGAAAACAGACGAGUGAGGAAAGAGUGUAGUUGUAAUUCCUCUUUAUGAUAAAGCUUUAAAAUUCGAGCUGAUUCAAACAUCCCCCUCUUCUGUCUUGCUUCAGCAUUUGGAGUGGAUGUGGAGAGAGUGAUAGAUGGGCUCACAGACAUGUCAUUUAAGGCCAAAGCAGGAUUAGAGGAAGCUGCUGGUGAGGUUGCUGCUAUUGGGACUGUUUAUAGAUGUUGUGUUUCACUGUUCGUCCUUGAGUGAUUGUCGGUUCACUGCCCCCACAGAAUUAUAUCUGUUUCUCUUUGGUAUGCAGCGCCCCUGCUCAGAACAAAAAAAUGUAUGAGUAUAUAAUAGACCCCUCUUGUUCUCACAUGUGUGUGCAUUUGUAUGUGCAUUCGAACGCAGGCGUGUGUUUCUGUUUGUGUAUGUGUUUGCGUAAUUGAUUGGGGAUUUCUGUGUCUAUUCACGGAAGGGUUGACCUCUGACCUUCUUAACAAGUAGCAGCUCCGCCCUCUCCUGGCCCAGAGUCCCUCAAUCUCACACUGUGUUAAAGGAAAUUAGUCACACACUUAACCACGCACACCCUGCCCAUUGUUAAGUGACUCCUAAAGUGUGUCAAAGAGGUUUCAUGGUUCCCUUAAACAGCUCUCGCCUCCCUCCCAGGCAGCAGGCACGCUCAGGUUCAACGCACAAACCCUUCAAGGGAGCAAAGCUGAGACACUCAACCUUGGCCUGUGACCCUGAGAGGCAGAAAAGAAGGGAAGUCCAAAGAUGCUGCAAACAGUGAACGGUGGCUCUGAACAGGAUGGCUUUAAUAUCUGUUUUUCGUCUAGUGAGGGGAGAAACUUUCAAAUCCUUAGAUAUGAAUGAUUAAGAUUUUUUUUUUACAUUAUCUAAAGGUGUGAAACUUCAUACUUUUGACUUCCCCUGUGGUACAAAGUGCGUUAAUUUGUUGGGGCAAUAUUUUGAUAAGGAAUAGGUUUCCUGUCACACAAGAUAAUACGCCAGAAAUGAGGAGGAAAAGUCACACGACCUGAACAAUGAGCAUCUGUUAAAUAUCACUCCAUUUGAGCACACAAAAAAACUGACUGUGUGUCACGUGACUGUGCAGUGUGAACCUGCACACAAUAUUGCUGCUGUCACAGAUGCUCCAGAGAAUGCCCGAUAAAGUGAGACGGAUUUUAAGACAGCCGUUCAGAUUCUCGCCAAGGCUGAAAUCUGCUAAUAGGACUGUAGAGUGUUUACUUUUAGAUUUCUGCACCUGCAGCACAUUGUAAGGUCAGGUGCAGUGACAGUCGGUAAAAAGAGUGAGAUGGGCAGAAGGGCUCUACACUAGGGCUGAGACUAUAUGCUUUUCUUCCGAUUCAAUUCUUCUACGAUGUUUUGGAUGCCGAUUCGAUUUAAAUUGCGAUUCUGCAAUAUUCUCGAUUUUCUUGAUUGUCAGUCUGCGUUUUUAACACCUGUGAGAGAGUUGAAUGAUUAUGAUUGUCUACUGACUUUUACAAUUUCCCCAAAAAAAUACACAUCACAUGGAAGUCAGUUUUCAAGAUUUAUUCUUAAAUUUGGGUGAAAAAAAAAGUUUUUUGAACAUAAAAAUUGAUUUAGAAAUUAUAAAACAAAAAAUCGCAAUACUUGAGUGAAUUGAUUUUUUUCUCCCACCCCUACUCUACACACUGCAGCUCAUUAUGAUUUCUGUCAAACACCAAUGAUGACGUGUAUGUAAGCAGUCAGGUUGAUCAAUAAACAGUGGGGUAAGAUUUGGAGGGGGUAUGAUUGUAAAGCUGACCCAAAGAUCCAAAUAAUAAAUGGUAGAAUUGUAUUACUUAAAAUCUUAAUAUACUGCAUUUACAUCGGGUAUAAAUCUUUUGACUUUUUUAUGUCAACCAACCGUAACAUUAUCAACACCACAAAAGAAACAGUUCUCAUAAUCUCACAUUUCUUCAAGCUCCCAUCAAACAUUGUGAUUGUUACUGCUUUGACUGACUAAACCAACAUCAGCAGAAACAAUUUGUUGUGCUUUUUUAAUGAGCAGGAAACUCGUGAGAGUCAGCAGCUGUUGAAAUCGUGAAGAUCUUUCUAUUUUUUACUGGUCAGCCAGGAUAAAUUUAGCACAGAGAUUUAGAAACCCUUUGAAAUCAUCUACAGUAUCUGUGACCCCAGAGAGAGCCCUUCACAGGGAGGAAAAAGUGGUCAGGAGUUUAAAAGGUUUCGGUGCCUACCGGUGAGGCACGGUCUAAUAAAAGACAACGACCAGUUGCAUUGUGGUAAAUGUAGGAUCCAGAGUUUGAGCUGUUAAAGGGACUAAAAGUCAGGAUGUUUUGGCCUCUGCUGCUCCGGGUCUGGCUGUUGGUUUUCUAAACUGUCUCCUGUGAGUCCACCAUCUUAAUGGAGGGGCAAUAGUUAACUGCUGGAGCAACCCUUUAAAGUGUUUCAAACAGCAGUAAUAGUCUGCACAGUCUGUCAAGUGUACCAGUGUCAAGACUUCAGUUUGUUUCUCAAUACCCAUAGUCUAUUUGGUUCGACUGGAAACCUGUGGAGUCUAAAAAUACUGCCAAGUCCUCUGGAAGACGUGCAUGAAAAACAGACCAAGGAUUUAAUAUCAUCAAAAAUAACAAUCAUAUCAGAUUAAAAAAGAGGUGGAACAUAAUAUUAAUACAGCAGUAUGUCUUUGUGUUUAUGCCUAAUUACAGGAAAAUAAGGUAAAAAGGAAAUGUACCAACAAGACCUGUAACCUACUGCUACCACCUCUAUAUUGGUCAGGUACAAAAAAAGAAGCAGAUGUAUUGAAAAUAUGGACUUUCUGAAGCGAAUUCACACCUCGAUGUGUGGGCGGGUGUGUUUGCACCCAUGUGUAUGAUUGUGUGAAUUUCUGAUAGCCUCACGGAUGAUCCCAGUGAUUGAAAGUGUCUGCUGAUUAUUGAUUUCCCACCGAGAAGUUGCUAAAAGUCUCGCAGCUAAUCCUGGCGGGCUGAGCGUGCUGUAGAUAAUGACGUGUAAUGAGCUAAUGACAUGCUGAAAUAUUUAGUAGAGCCUCAAUAGGGCUGCACUAUAGAGGUGGGAGAGGUCAUUAGAGGAGCGUCUGAGGGACGGACCUUCGAUUAGUAACACCCAGGGUCCCGUCUCGGAGCUGCACACACACACACAGGUACAUGCAUUGAUAAAAGCAUACACACCUGCUUAGAUACACAUGUAGGUACACAAACUCAUGGUCAAACACACACGAAAAAAGAAGGUACGGAAAGAGCUCGGCUGUUAGUAGUAGGACUUGGACCAUUGAUCGGUCAGCUUUUAAGAGAGUGACCUUUUACAGAGGGCUCCACUGGCCUUGAUAAAUCUGAUCUGGGGGCCAUCUGUGUCUGGGUGGGAGCAGCCUCUGUAGGAUGGGACCCCAGAGAGGAGAAGAGAAGGAGAGGAGGGAGAGAAAAGUAAUGCAGGAUGAGGAGGAAAGCAAAGACAGGGAAGGAUAAGAGGAGACAGAGUAAGAGAGGAAAGGUCAAAGGGAGAAGAAAAUUGAGGAGAUGAGUGGAGUGUGGUAAAGUGAAGAAAAUAUAGCAGAUGGGAGAAGAGAGAGAGGAAAACGAAAAGGGGAAGAAGAGGAAACAGGAGUCGACUAGUUAUUUGUUACAGUUGCAGGACACUGAUUGUUGGUUAUAUUUGUGCUACAAGUCUCCAACAGUCUGCACCAUGAGCCUGAAGCUGAUUAAGACUCUGUAGAAAACGAUCUAAUCAGCUAUCGAUGCAAAAAGCUUAUUUGAACAACGACUAUUGAUAACAGCUUUAAACAUUUUAAAGGUUUGCUGGUGGAAGCUCAGAGAUAUCUGAUUGUUUUAAUUUACACUCUCCAGUACUCAUUUGAAGCUGCUUUCAGGAGCAGAAAUUAGUGAACAUAAAAGAUGUUGAAGUGUGGUCAUACAGAUGUGUCAUGCUUCCUCCACAUGGACUUUGAUUUUAACUAAUUUGAUGUUUUUCAGACAUGAAAAACAUGACAUGGAUGUAAAAAGCAUCACAAAUAUUCACCUAUCAAUAAGAUGAAAUAUUCAAACCAAUAAAAUAUGUUAAACGCAUCAAUCCUUGAUCUUUGUGCGGUUUGGCUCUCACAAUCACUAAACCAAGUAGACCAUGAAAUUGUAAAACAAGGAAGGGAGCUGAUUUAUGAAGGUGGUAAUUUCAGGGAGAGUGAAUAUGUAAUGCUCUUUUAUUGAGGUGCUUUAAAGAAGGCCACCGCUGCCAGCGACUACCGUCCUCUGUGAUGUUCCUGGAAACCUCAGGAUGUUGAUCAGCAUUUACAGUAGUUAGAAAUCUAUAAUUACAGUGGACUCUUAGAUGUAAAAAUUAACUGAUAACAUGGACAAUAGACUUAACAAAUGAAGCAGGAUUUCAAGGAUCAUUGUUUUCUUCCAGGUGUUUCCAUAAUUUCAUAAAGACAUUUAAAGAGGGACCGUUUAAAAAAAAAAAAAAAAUCAUCCAUUUGAGAUUAGGGCUUGGCAAUAUGGCUCCAAGUCAAUAUCACAAUAUAUUGAUCAGUUCACCUUGAUAACAAUAAAUGGACGAUAACUACUCCACAAGCUGCUAACCCCCUCCCACAUUAACUUCAUCCAUUCUAGCCGCCACUCUCGCCACUACAAAUUUUGAACCGUCCUCUACUAUCCCCUCACCUGUCUUUCCGUCUUUGUUACAGACUGGAUGAGGUGGAGUCACGUCUCUGACGUAGGACAGCAUCUUAAAGGGACAUGAUACCAUAGCCUGCCUACACACAUCCAAAAACACAUCCAAGAACUUUUAGUUAUUUAUUUUUUUGACAAAGAAUAUACCGAUAUGGGCAAAAUGACAUUGGUUAUUGUUGUAAAUUUCUGAAUCAGUAAAUUUUCGGUUUAUCACCCAGCCCUAUUUGAGAUUUAUAUUAGAGGGUUAUGACAAAGUCUUAGUUUGUGUCAACUUUGGCGCCCUCUGUGGACAAAUCUUUGCCUGUCUCACCUCUACAUGCUGAAAUCUUCUGACAGAAAAUCUCAUCAUUCUGACAUUGGACGGUGAAAAACUGUCAAACAGGGCUGUAUCUCUGGCUUCUUGGCUGAUACCUACCCUCUUGCAGGGGGUUCAGACAUUAGAAAUUUCAAUGUGGAGAUCAUCAAUCUAUUUUUUUAAUGUUCAACAUGACUUCCAGUUAACUUCACAAACACUGAAAAAAACAUACACAGGAGCUAAAUAUGAAGAAGGCUUUGUUGCCUCAGCAUACAGCAGACAGACCAGAGGUCAGCAUAUCUGCCUCGGUCCAAAGGUAGAAAAGUUUACCAACCCACAUCUCCAAAUUCAACUUGAUAACAAGCUAUGUGUCCUUCCCUCCUUUCUUUGUUUUGGCGGUGGGGGGUUUGGACUAUUUCUUUGCACGCUGCAGUGACUCCCCAAACAAGUCAGUGCCAUAUGUUGACUUUUUACCCACUCCUAUUCUUGAUGCCUACUACAAAAUAGAUGCUUUUGUAGCUGUGAACAUCUAGACAGUAAAAACCUAGCGCCCAGUUUCAUUCAGUAACACACAGUGACAGACAGUCUUUGAUAAACCUUCAAGAUUAACAUUUUAUCUCACUAUCUGCUUAACUCAAACAUAUGGACAAGUCUUAGGGUACAAUAAUAAGGCAACAUCUACAGAAACUGAUGACAAAAUUAGUUAGUGACAAAUUUAAUUAUUAGUCGUAGGGGUGGGAGAAAAAAUUGAUACAGCAUAGUAUCGCAAUGUUUUGUCUGGCAAUAUAUCGUAGCGUCUCAUUGACCAAAUGUCAGGAGAAAGUUCUUGCAACAAAUAUAUAUAAGGUCUGUAAGAUUUGCCACAUGAAAAUAAAAUACAGUGUAAAUAAGACAAACAGAAAGGAAAGCCAAAUGCUAAAUUAGCUAAACAGUUAAAAAAAAAUGUGUAAAUCACAGUAUAUUGUAGUGCAAUACUCACUGUAUUGCAAAAUGUUAAAAAUCGCAUUAAUAUUGUAUCAUGACCAAAGUAUCAUGAUAAUAUCGUAUCAUGGGCCACUAGUGAUUCCCACUAAUUAGUCGGUUACUCUUACAUUCCUAUAAUCUUUACUAAAAGUGCGUAAACAUGCUUGAAUGCAGACUGCCAGGAAGUUACAGGUACAAAACAGCAGAUAGCAGUGAUGGAUGCAACACCAUCACAUCCUCUAAGGUCCUCCUGCCUUCAAGGCUGCGAAGAAAAGCUGCCUGCUAGAAACUGUAAAAGGGGACCUUGCUCGUCAUGGGUGCCUGUCAGUAAUGUAUGAGCAUUCAAAGCUCGCUGGACGUCUUUUUAAAUAUUAACUCUGACAUUCAACCUAAAAGUUCCAGGUUAACACAGCCAUGUAGUGAGAUCUUUCUCUCAUUUAUAUUUACAGCCUUUCACCUUAAAAUCUUUCCCAACUCAAGAACACUUCAUCUCUUUCUCUUCUUUUAGCCUCAUUUUCUUCCUCCUCUGUGCACAUUUUACAUCAACACUCGUAUUUAAAGCAAAGAUAAAAUAUGACUUGAGUUGAGAUUUUAAUGUUGUUUUGAGUCUAAAGAGUACUGGUAGAUUUAUAAGAACGUUUGCAGUUCACAAUCCAAUUAACAGAAUGAUAGUUUCAGUAGUAAAUGACUUUUUUACUGGCAUGAUAGCUGUAAUUUUCAGCCUUGGUCUGCAUACAGCAUUGCAUCUUUCACGCCUUCACUUUGUCAUUUGUUCAUCAAAGGUCUAUAUACUAUAGAGAAGGUGCAAACACACAUGUAGUCUAUCUAAAACACACACACACACACUCAAAGUACAGCCUCACCUGCUGCAGUAAAACCAUGUUGAUUAAUGAUAAAACCAGCACGUUCCUCACAAACUCUUUACAGUUUCUGCACCAUCAAAACUUACCCUGAACACACACACACACACACACGCUCAAACACAAACACACACUCACACGUGUGCUCACACACACCAUUACUCUUUCUUUCUCUCUAUCUACUAUGUUUAAUUCCCUUUGGAAAAGACAGGUGCAAACGUUGAUUGAGCCUGAGCCAGAUUUAGCCCCAGCUCUCAGUGUGCGUCCAGCUGUACUCUCCAACCCACUGAGAUCGAUGUCCAGCCAGCCAGGCAGCCAGCAGGCAGGCAGCCAGGGAAGCAGCCAGUCAACCAGGCUGCACCCAGCGGGCAGAGGGGGCCAACGGCUUUCCCCCAGCCCCAGAUACAGCCGCGCUUCACUGGGCUCAUUGGGCAGACCACAGCGGGGCAUCGCACAGUGCCAAGCCCUAUCACUGCACCACUGAUGCAGGAUGUGCUUCGGGCAGGACAGGGAGGGAAAGGGAAGGGUGAGGAGGGGCGGGGAGGGGAGGGGAGGGGACCCCAAAAAGCCUGCUAGACCUCCACCCAUUUGCCCCCUCACAGCUCCUGCUAAAAGCACCUUUCCUCAACGCACUCAUCCCCUCCUCCUGCAUCCUUCUCAACGCCUCCACCUCUAUUGAACCCCUGCUCUUUCCCCUCCCUCCUCCCCUCCCUCUCUUCCUCCUCUUCCUCUCCUUGCUCCAUCCAUCUUGAAGCUACUUUGAUUCAGGUCUCUCUCUUUUCCAUCCUCCAUCCUCCCAGCCCCAGCCGUUCUCCAGCCAACCACAGUUUCCUAUUGAUUUAUUGAUUGCUGUCUGCCUGUGGGAGAGCGGCCGCAGUCUCCCUCUCUCCCUCUGCUCUCCCCUGCAUGGAUUUGUCUUCCCUUUUCCCCUUCUUUCUUCUCUCCCUCUCUCUCUCCUCUCUCUCUCUCGCUCUUUCGCUCUCUCAGCCCUCUCCAUCUCCCCGUCGAUGCAGCAGCUCUGAAACAUGAAUUAGAGAAAGCAGGGGAGUCCAAUUUACCGGGAGAAAUCAGAUUCACCUUCUCCCAUACGCUCGUUUCUUCUUUCUUUCCCUUUCGCCUCUCUUUCACUUAAACCUGCGUCUCUCCUCCAUUUUCUCGGGCGCUUUCUGUGUUUUGCCUUUGUCCGAUCAUCAUGUCAGUUACACUUUGCACUGACACUGUUACAGACGAGCAUUAACGUCAACACUACCAUGAGCCACUGUUCGAGGCACUUUGAGUACAUCUGAAGCUGUAAUUACAAGCGUUGCUUUAAAUAGAAGACGAAAUACGAAUUGACUCUCCAAGGCUGCUAAAUAUUGACUGUAUGAAAUCAGAAAAAUGUUCGUAUCAGGAGGAGGUCAGAAUGGGGAAAAAUAGCGUUCAGAAAUUUCCCUUAAAUUAUAGACAGUUGCAUCCUUUAAAGUGGUAUCGACAUGACCACGCAGAGUUAUUGCCUUCAUCCUGUCUCCAAGAAAAGGCUCAUUUGUUUUAUAUUUUCAUUUAUGUUUGACAAUAACAGACAAACAAGUGUUGUCUUUCUGUAUCUUCAUUUAAUGCCCUGCGCUCCUGUCUCACUGCUAUGUUUUGUUGCAUCCCAGUGAAGCUCAAACUUCAAUUAUAUCUCUUGCAACACCACAGCAGCCCAGUAUUAUCCGAGCUCUUCUUUCAGGCAGAGAAGAGGCUUGAUUUUAUACCAAACUGUCCCCUGAACUGCAGGUUAGUGCGGGUCACACAGGAGAGCAUCUGAUUAUCUGACCUCUGGGGUCAACUCGCAGCUCUCUGGGUUUGGAACAAUAGGAUCAGCUGUAAUGGGUGAAAAGAUAGAGUGACAGCCAGAGGGAAGAGUGGGACCCUCAAUCUGUCAAAUUUAUCCUGUAAUUUACCCGCAGAAGAGGACGAUAUUCUGACUUGAUUGAAGGAACUUUAUUGAUGGUAUUCACUCUUUACUUACCAUUUCGGUGUACUCGGGGGUUUUUCUUGACUCAGAAUGAGGCUGAGGUAGCGUCCGCUACACUGUGUGUACACACCAGCAGACUGAAUCAGCUAAACUCUGCAGAAAUACAGUGUGAUUGUCUUCAAUAAUAGAUGAAAAAGGUAAUUAUUGGUAUCAGCAGAUGAAUUUUUCUGCUGAUAUGAUUAUUGGCGAGAAAGUUGACACAUAAAUUACAUGUAUGUGACAACAUAUAAGCUGUGUGGAGAUAUUUUGAAGUGUUGGAAGCAGACAUCAUUGAAUCUCAAUAUUCAGAAAUAAACACUUCAUUUUCAGUCAAAACAAAUCUUUUGAGAUCACUGAGAGAUACACAGAUCAAAUUUUUUCAGAUCAAAUCUGAUACCAAUACCAGGGCUUAGCGUAUCAGCCGAUAUCGGAUACAGAUCCAAUACUACUGUUGAAUGAAUGAACUGUAUACCUUGCCCUGUGAGUGAAGACAUCAGGCUUUAUAUUAACCUUGUUAAAAAAACAAAUUAACACAGAUUUAUAUAUACUUGAUAUUAUUUAUUAACAAAUAACCAAUCGCACUUUAGCACCCAGCAAAAAGAAAAGAAAGACAGUAUCGGAAUGCUGGAUUGGCAUCAUUCAUCAGAUAUCUGAUCCAGUUAAUUUGUCAGUAUCAGAGCCGAUAUCGGUGCAUCCCUAAUAUGAGUAUCAGCCAAAAAAAAAAAAACAGGUUUGAAAAUAUCGUCAUGUCAGAUGUUGAACAUAAUAUUCAUGCAUCUCCACCAAACACUUUUGAUAGUUUACAUAUUUAGGGAUGUUAAAAGGAUAUAUGGUUGGAGAAAUUAUGAUCCCAAAUGAAAGACCACUGUUUUCAGAGAAAAGUUAUUCUAACUGAAUCCUAUAUAAUAUAUUAAUUUACACUGUUCAAAGCACAGUCAUUCAAAAUAAAAUGUAGGAUCAUCUUCCAGAUAUCGUUGAGUGUCAAACACUUUAUUUCUUUUUAUUUGUCGUAAAUCAGUUCUUCUUGUGGAUAUCUUCACAUUUUUUAAUAAUUAAUCUUCACUUUCUACAUAAAAGCCAAAUUUUGCUCUUUAGAAGUUUCAUCACUAACAUGUUGCUUGGACAAUCCUCAUGAAAGGCAGACAGAGAUUUACCUGCUCAGGAUUAGGAAUUAUUAGAUUCAUAAUAUCAUAGAGAGGCUUCACUUUAUUUCUCUUCCAGUUGGAGACUUUUGAGGAUUGUUGAUGCGCAAGAGUCAUAUGCCAUCUUCAUAAUUACCCACUGAGUCAGGAAGACAAUUAUUGAUAUGUCGAGCUCUUUAUAUCACCCUUAGCCUGUUGGCCUUUAGGUGUUAUGAACUCAUCUCUCUCUCUCUCUCUCUCUCUCUCUCUCUCUCUCUCUCUCUCUCUCUCUCUCCUGCCUCAGUGGAUUUGCAAUAACACAUUGCCUUUUUUUAUUUUUUUAUCGUUUUAUUUUUGAUAUCCUCUUCUACAACACUUUUGCAUGUUGGAGCUUUUGUAUCAAAAUGUAAACCCGCUGUAUUAAUUAGACUAGGGCAGGGCGAUAUAGCCUCAAAUCAAUAUCACGAUACAUUGAGCAGUUCACCUCAACAACUAUAAAUGGAUAAUAACUACUCCACAAGCUGCUCACUCCUUCCCACAUUAACUUUGUCUACUUCAGCUGCCGCUCCAGCCGCUACAACUUUUGAACCGUCCUCCAUCUCCUCACCUGUCUUUCCCUUUUUUGUUAGGGACUGGAUGAGGUGGAGUCACGUUUCCGACGUAGGACAGCGUCUUUAAAGGGACAUGAGACCAUAGCUUACUGACACACAUCCAAAACAAACUUUGAUUUAUUUAUUUUUUUGACACCUAAUAUAUUGACAUGGGCAAAAUGACAUUGGUUAUUGUUGUAAAUUUCGGUAUCGGUAAAUUUUCGGUUUAUCGCCCAGCCCUACAUUAGGCCACUCAGUAUAAGUGCUCUUCUUAGAGAAAAAAAACGUGAAACGCAGUAAAGUGUAGCUUAACCUUAAAGAGGUUUUUUGAAGGAUAUACAAUAUUUAACAGUUCUUGACUUUGUGCGUAAACAUGAAACAUUUAAAAGAGACACUAAACAGUUAAAGACAGUACAGAAAAAUUAUGGAUGUUAUUCUUUAAAGAUUUAUCACUGUGGUGGAGAAAUGCUCCUGCCAGAACUGACCAAAAAGAAGAAAAGGAAGUUUUCUGUGGGUCUUGUUUAUGCUACAGACAAGGACAUCCUUCAACUGAAAGUUAAGUUUCUCUACACUACACUUUAACCUUAAAAAACAAUCAACUACUUUACACACAAUUGAGAAAAAAUCGUUGUAGUAUUUUUUUUUUUCCUCCAGGAAUUUUGCCAUCCACAUCCAGUUUUUAUUCCUCCAAAUUUAAGAGCUGCCAUCAGUGAGGCUCAGUCACUAAAGUGUCAUCUCAGUUUGACGAUAGAUAGCGACAUUCAUUAAAUCCAACAUGUGACAAUUGUUACCUAAAAUAAAACAGGAAAAGUCAUUCUUUUUCCACCUGUGCUGCAGCUGCCACAUCACUCUCUGCUGGCUUCCUCCUGCCACAGACACUUUGCUGGAAAUGAUGUUUCUUGUCGAGGAAAAGAAUUCUAUCGAAGGACAAAUUCCCAAACGGGGAUGAGCAGGUUGAGGAGGAGGAGGAGGAGGAGGAGGGGCGGUUAUUGGUGGUUGACAGAAAAGACUACACUGCCUCAGUGCACGGCGCUCCUUGUAUUGAUAAAAUCCAUACUCCUGAGAUGCAUCUGUGUGCGACGGAGAGCGUGAGAUUAGUUUCCUGACUGGAACCUAGUUAAUACCACAGAGGAGAAGACACACCACACCUGAGGCCCUCUGAGACGCAGAGCAGGGCAGCGACAGGCAGGCAGGCAGGCUGCAGGGGCAGGGCAACCCGUGCACACACAGAGAAACCGGGGAUACACGCUAAAUGCCACGUAGAAAUGUACAGCUACAGACGCCGACAUGCACGUCAGUACAUGCACACACAUGCUCAGUCCCUGGUCUGACGCCAACACCCCUGUAAGAGCAGGGUGGAGGGGUAGGGAGUGGGGGGUGUUUAGGUGUCUGCAGGCCAGAGAGUGGCAGCACAAGGACAGACGUCUCCCUGGCUGUCUGGCUGCCGACAGGUCUGAUCGAUCAAUAUCCUGACUCUCUCUCUCCCUUUCUCCGCUCCUGUCUUCUCCCUCUUCUUCCUCCUCCUUCUUUUCCCUCUACCUCCUUUACUCUCUUCUCUCAUCAUCCGUUUCAUCCUUCCUUCUCUUUCCCAUUCCUCUUCAUAUUUCCUUCUCUCUUUUCAUUUGCUCUCUCUCUCUUUCUGUGGCUACUGAUCCUCCUCACCCCGUGGAGUGACCCCUUCCAUCCCAAAUCCUACCCCCCCUUACACACACACACAUACAGCACCACCUCCACCACCUCUCAUUAACCACUCAUCACUCACUUUCUCCACUCUUUCAUCACUCUUUGUCCUUCUUGCACAUAGAGGAGAGGGUGCAAGGGACCAUCUUUAACACACUUGAGGCUUCCUGCCACCUGAGACAGCGAGCACCUUACACAAUGCAACACGAUCACAGAGGUGAAAUUAUUGACUGUACGCACCAACAACAGAGCUCUGAACAUAAACAAACCAAAAUAUUGCAGCUCAACUCUUUUGCACUGAAACUAUAAAGCUUGGACAAAGAAACUGCUCGAUACAGCGCUGCUCUUCUCCGCUGCUCAGCAGGAAUAAAAAGUCCACAUAAUGAUAAAAGUGCCUUUUUCUAUUCGUUAUUUUCUCAAAGCUUUGCAGGCACUUUUCAUUUCUACAUGUCUUUAAUGUUAGUUUCUCAAAUGUGUUUUUCUAUUUUAUUUAAGCCAGAAUUCCCACUGAGAGCAGCAGCAGCAUCUUCCUCAAUAGAGCUUUGAAGGAUGAAAAGAGGAGGGGAGGGUAAGGUAACAUGAAGGGAAUAUGAGAGUUUACAAAGAGUGCCGGAUCAGAUCAGACGGCUUUUAAUACGGACACACAUUCAAAUUAAAGGAAAUAGUUGAUUCUGUGUUAAGAAGCUGAUUAAAGUUGAAAUAAAGGCAGAUUAUUUGCUUUUUGUCAGGCUAUAAACCUCUCUGCGUCUGGUUUUUGAAGCAAUAAAGGGGUAAGACUUUAUGUAAAUGUAAAUGUUCUUUAUUCAUACAGCCGUUUACAACAACCCUUUCGGUGAACCACGGUGCUUGACAAUACAUAUACAGUAGAGGCCAAAAGUUUGGACACACCUUCUCAUUCAAUGUCUUUUCUUUAUUUUCUUAUAUAUGACUAUUUACAUUGUAGAUUCUCAGUGAAGGCAUCAAAACUAUGAAUGAACACGUGGAAUUUUGUACUUAUAUAAAAAGUGUGAAAUAACUGAAAACAUGUUUUAUAUUGUAGUUUCUUUAAAGUAGCCACCCUUUGCUCUUGAUGACAGAAGUACUUAAAGUAACCCUGACAAGGCACAGCUGUGAAGUAAAAACCAUUUCCGGUGACUACCUUUAAGAGAACAGCAAAAGUUUGCAGCGCUAUCAAAAAAAGCAAAGGGUGGCUACUUUGAGAAAUUUUAAAUAUAAAACAUGUUUUCAGUUAUUUUCACUUUUUUCUUGAGCACAUGAUUCCUCGUGUGUUCAUUCAUAGUUCUGAUGCCCUCAGUGAGAAUUUAAAAUUUAAAUAGUAAUGAGAAUAAAGAAAAUGCAUUGAAUGAGAAGCUGUGUCCGAACUCUUGACCUGUACUGUAGUAAAAAUAUGAAUAAAUAAACAAAAAUAAUAAAAGCAAUAAAAAAAAGAAUAAGAUACAAUGCAAUAAAAUAAAGUGUCACCAUGCUACUGGGUAUCAAAAGCCAGCAUACGUAAGUACGUUUUCAGUCGAGAUUUGAAAACGCCCAGAUGAGAAAUAAGUCUCAUUUCGUUGGGGAGUUUAUUCCAGAGCCUGGGACCAGCAGUUUCCAUCAUUAAUACUUUGAGUAAGAAACAGUCAUCAUCUAAUGUGAAUGUUUUCUUUCUCCUUUGCACAUUUUACACAUUUUUAGCAUUUUUAUUUUCCACAUGUAAUGAAAGUCACUAUUCAGGGGUAUUGAACCCAAAAAGGAGUAGAGAAAUGUGUGAUUGUGUAGCUGAUGUUUUUCAGGUUAUUAUGUGUAGUUUAGUUUCUGAGAUGUGUUGUAUUUUUUUGGGCAUGACCUCACCCACCGAGGAGUGCUCACGCGUCUCUAAUCUCUUUUAGAUGGGAUGCCUCACUUUCCCUUUUUUUGUUGCCCCUGGGUAAUAAAUCUAAUGGUCUAAACUUCUCCUACAUCUCAACGCUGUUCCUCCCUCCCCCCACCAAACAAAAAAAAAAAAACUCUGUGCUUUAUGUUCUCUCGAACUUCGUUACGCCGGGCCAAAAAGGAAUGAUUUCACAGGAAAAUGUAUAUAUCGGCUUUGAUUUUUGUCUACUUUCUCGCAAUAUGGGCCCGCUUUAGUGGAAUAAAAAUUGAUUUUUUUAAGCUUUUUUGUGCAUUAGCUUUUAAAUUUGAAAUUGUAUUUGCAGAACCUGUUUGUGAUCAAUGAAAGAAAUCAAGAUUUAUAGCUGUGAUGUAAUAUAGGAGGAACGGGAACAUCUGACUGCCUGAAAAGGGAAUUACAUCUUGUAUUUAGGUGGUGUUGAGUGUCUGUACAGUAUCUCUCUCUCUCUCUCUCUCUCUCUCUCUCUCUCUCUCUCUCUCUCUCUCGUCUUCUCUAUCUUUCUAUCACUGCUUUUUCCAUCUUUUUUCCCUUAUAUUUGCUUGCCUCAGAUUCUUCCAACUUUGCUCAAGCCUUUAAGGUCUAAAAAACCAGAUAAAAGCAGUGAGUCCAUUUCCUUCAUCUUUUCUAAUUACUCCUCCUCAUCAUCCUCAUCUUCAUCACCUGCCUCCUUACUUCCGUGAAAGCCUCUUUUAAUGACCAGGUUUGAUGUCCUGGCUGCUUGUCUCCAACUUCAUGGAGAGCUUCAUCGAAGAUCACCAAGUGGCUUUUCAAAAAUACACAAGUACUGUUAAAGGCAACAUACACAGACUUUAGCACACACUCAAACAAACACACCCACACACACACGCACUGCCCAUGUUUCAGACAGUCCAUUGUGAGUAUCUGCAGCCUUGAAGAAUCUUGAGGAGUGUCUUAAAAGCUUGAAGGGGGUUCAAAGAGGGACACACAAACAAACCCACACUAAUGGCCUCACAUUAGCCAUCAGUGGCAGAAGAGGCAGACACACAUACACGCACACACUUCACAGGACCCUUUUCUUCUGGCCGGUCUUCAAGAAGGGUGUUUUGGAGGCCCCUACAGAGUCCUAAAAAUUGAAUCAUCUUUUUUUAGUUUCAUUUGAAAGUAAGGUCAAAAAUCUCAAAUUGCGUCCCUGGCCCCGCGAGACCUCACAGUAACCCAAACAGCGUUCAGCGUGUUUGUGCGUUUUCUGACAGCAGCUCUGAGUGAGUCUGUGGCCGGUGAAAGGUGGAUAGUGGCUUAAAAACUCAUACAGUAAUAACGUAAAAACACAUGAAUCUACAUUUAUUUUACACCAGGUGAGGUCAGAAACUUGAGGAACAUCGUUUUAAAUGGUCUGUAUUUUUACUCCCAGAUUCUGCCACAGCGCUCUGACCCACCUUGACUGUCACUGUCAAGAUUUACUUUGAGACUCUCUGGCCUUUGUAACAAGGAUAGGAUCGUGUUCCCUCAAAACAGAAGAGAGAGGGUGGGGAUCAACAUAGUCGAACCUGUGCCACCCACAUCUAUAGGGCUGCUUGGAGUUUCCAUGCCUGUGCCCUUAAACCAUAAACUUUAGUGUAAAAGUCCUUACACACCGGGACUGAUGCAAAUAUAUGACAAGAAAUUACGAAAUAUUCAGAGGCGAAUUUGGCGCACCUGACUAGACACAUCAAGCCUGAUGUGAUUUUCUCGACUUUCCGGGGGGAAAAAAGACGUGUCCCGGGUGGAAGUGAGAAGACGGACACAACAGCAGACUGACUAUUUUUCAGUUCUGAUUAGACACUAGUGUUGAGAUGUCUGUCUGUCAUGAUAGCAUGUACUGAGUCGGGGCCAGUACCAGAUAAGCACAUUAAACUUUAAUCCAUAAACGUAAGGUAACAACCGAGACCUAAUGAUGCUGAGACAGCAACGUGAUUGAGUUUGAGACAGUGAAAAUACAUGUGGUAUGUUGUAUCUGAACAGGUUAGCUUACGAGCUAAAGUUACUUAGCACAGAUGAAAGUUAAAACAAGACAUUUAGCAAACUGUUAAAGCACACAAACCAUUGUCAUAUGAGAAAUCAGAGGCUAUGACUCUCCACAAAUUGUCCUUCAGGUCGUUAUCUUUGUAAUGUUUGUGUUUUUUUAUCAAAAAGCACUCAGUUCUCCGACACGGAAACAAUCAGCCAGUCGGCCAUGUUGGAUUUACCGGUGAAUCAGAUGUUGCAACAACAAGCGAAAUAAUUGCACGAUAAAACGGUCCCGGUGUGAAAGGACCUUAAUAUUGGUGUGAUGCAAGCCAAGCAGCACAAAAAACUUGUUUGCUUUUAAAACCUUCUCCAUGCUGCAUAUCGAAUUGAUCUGAAAAAUACUUUUAGCUGCUUUGUUUUUAUCUCACACAUCAUAGUUACUUUCAUGCCACACAGCUUUGCAUUUACAACUGUUUAUUACCUUUUUUAUACAUGUAACCUAAUAUCAAGAGUUAAAAGCCUUUUUAACAGUACACUGUACAAGAUACUCUAGAAUCAAACCUUUGCCUGUUACUGAUAUGGACUUAUAAAGACUGCAAGUGUUUGGCAGUCUUAUGAUCUCUCUCUCUCUGAAAUAUCAGACUCCUCGGUUAAUGACAGAUACCUGCAGAGUGAUGACAUUAUGUAAGGGUGAAGCUCCACAAAAAAAUUUCAGCUUCAAAACACCUCGAACACAAGUAAGACUGUUUAAAGAUGACCCUUUACUUUGAGUUUCUGGAGAUCCAAAAUCCUUUGUAUCACCAAGUUUCCAGUCCUGCAUCCUGACUGAAUCUAGGACAUUUUUGUGAUAAAACUAUAGGUAAAAUCCGUCGUUAAGUCUGUGGCCCUCCAGUAUUUCCACAUCACUAAUGUUGUUUUUUUUUUUAACUCCACUGUGCACCAGGCCACAGUCACUGCAGGCCUUUGCUGUAAAUAAUGUCAGCGUGAUCAGAAUCUGCUGGUCGUAUGAAAGUUCUCCUUUUUAACCUCUCAGGAUUAUUUCCUUUUCAAGCUGCUAUUAUCAAAUCAAUCCAACAUGUACCGUGGUCAACUUCCUUUGGUCCACAAAAAUCAGAUAAACAGAUUUAAUUCGCAUGGCCAACUUUUCCCCUGUUAUUGUGUCUCCCACUGUCUGUGUAUGCAUGUGUCGGUGUGUGUACUUGCAUGGCGGCAGCCUGCUAGGCUGAGACUGCUGCUGGUGAUGGGGGACAUUGAUUUUUUUUCUCCCCCCUCUGUUUUCUCUGGGAUUUUGACAGAAUCAUAGCACCAUGGAAACAAAGAAACUGCUUUGUGACAGAGGAAAACCUUUCAUUUCAGCCGCAGUGAAUGGCGGCUUGCUGCUGAUAACAGCAUGGGUAAUCACACACUCACACAUACGCCUACAGAAAUAGACACACACACACACAACACACCAUGUAAGGCACCACAAAGCACCGACGUAUAAGGUUAAAGUAUGAUUGUUGCACGUGAUUGCGAAAAAUAAACAACUCAAAGGUCCCUUUUCAGUAAGCUGCAGCUCAGACACAUAAUCACAGCUAUUAUCAACCUCUGCAGGAAUACAUGUCACUCUGAGAGUUAUUUCACUCUCUGUCACUAAUAAUACAGAUGUAUAACCAGUGUUUUUGGAUACACAGAUCCUAUGUGGUCUGCAGCUGUUUUUUUUCAUGAGGCAUCAUUAAGCACACCUCAUAUCCCGUGAUUUACUUGACUGCACCAUGACAUGGAGCCGGUUCUGCUGUGGUAUUUAUUUGGUCAUGAGUGCAAAUGAAUCACACAAGCUUUGUCACACUUAGCUUAGUUUGUUUAGUUUAUUUGCACAUCUUGAAAACCAAAGAAGGAGUAAGAAAUGUAUAACUGUUGUACAGGGGGGAAUGGAAGGUUUAUGAAGAGCCUCCUUGAUAGACAAAAGAGGAAAGAUCAGCUUUUUUUCCCUCAAUCUAAAUUAUAUGCCACCGUUGCUAAAGUUAUACCGAACCAAGAGAGUUUAAGUGACAACUCAAAUACCCAACACACCUCACUACCAAACUAUAAAUGACAUUUAAUAAAUUAUUUAAUUCUUUAAAAGAAAAAAAAAACUUGUGAACUAAAUAGUGCUGGACGAUAAUUCGAUAACAAUAUAUAUCGAUCGAUAGACGUGUGGUGCGAUAGAAAAAAAACGGGUCGAUAAAAAGUUCGAUAGAAAAACACAGUUUCCCUUUCUUUUUCAUCAUAGCCUAUCAUGUAGCUUUUACUACAGUCAUUACUUCCUCCCAACCAAUCACAAACGCAGACCCAGGUACGCUACGGCACCAAGCCCAGCCCCUCUCAAACCACAACAGACAGCACGUGUAUUAGAAAUAAUGUUACAGCAAGGAGAAGCGGAGGAAAUUGUCCCGAAAAACGGUUUCAGUAGUUCUCCAGCAUGGCAAUGUUUUGGCUUUUACAAGUCUGACAAAAAGCGAGCAGCGGUCGUUUGCAAAAUUUGCAGAGAAUUAGUAAAAACCAAGUCUGGUAACACAACCAACUUGUUUUACCAUCUAAACCGAUCGCACCCGCAGGAGUACGAGCUGUGUCGGCCGCGCCGCGGCUCCACGUCGUCGGAGGAGGAAUCCCCUGGAACCGCUGCCAGCACCAGCACAAAGCAAGUGAAGCAGACCAAACUGGACUUCGUUUCUUGCCAAAAUACGACAAAGCGUCCGAGCGGCAUAAGGACAUCACCCAUGCAGUAACAUGCUCCAUAGCGAGGGACAUACUGCCAAUAACUACCGUUGAAAAGCCUGGCUUCGACCAGCUUCUAGCCACUCUUGACCCGCGAUAUGAAGUGCCCGGCCGCAAGUAUUUCUCAAACACAGCGCUUCAGGCAUGAAAAUGGGUCAGGGGUUGAAAAGCUGAGAAGGGUGCAGAGGAAAUACGUUCCGGUGUUGUGCUGUAGAAUGCACCCCUGCAUCCCGUCCACUCAUUAGCUUCUUAAAGUGGAAGAAAAUGAGCUCAUAUUUUACAAAGACGCGAGUAUUUGGAUCAUGACUACUAGCAGGGGGUGCGUUCGGCAGGGGUGCAUUCUACGACACAACACCGGCGUGGAUAAGUCCUGCUUCUCGUGCUUAGUUUGCGUAUCAAGUCAAUCAGAUGAUAAUUAAAAAAAAUAAAUCUCCCGACCCCGGGAGAAAUAUUUCAGUGUUCAGACACCAGGUUGUGGGCAGUUUCCCACACAGUUAAAACUGGUAGUAUGCUAUUCCCACCUAAAGCUAUUCUGUUUAUUUAUAUAUUUGUUUGUUUUGUUUAUUUUCAUCAAAAGACUAUUUAAAUAUUUAUUUAUCAGAUUUUCUGGUCACUUUAGUCUUAAUGUUUGUCAGUAUUUACUGACGUCACUCAGGCCACUUAAGUUGAUUUCUUUUUUUUUUAAGUUCUUUUUUAAAAAACUUUCAGUUGUGGUAAAAAAAUAAAUAAAAAGGUGGUUGAAUAAAGGUUUGAAUUUGAUUUCAGUGCUUGUGUGUUCUUUAUUAAAAGUAGGUCAUUAAGCAAUAGCAUAAAACAUCCAGGGCUGCAAUUAAAAUAUAUGUUAAAUAAUUAUAAUAAUUAUAUCGAUAAUUAUCGAUAUCGAUCAAUAUGAUUUAUUUUUUAUCGAUAUGCUUUUUUUCUAUAUCAUCCAGGCCUAGAACUAAACAUUUUUAUAUAAGUACAGAUCUGAACUUUCUUAACUCAACAUCAGACACAACUCAUUACAGGUUUCUGCUGUAAACAAUGUCCUGGAAUACAAAUGUACUGUAAAAGUUUUUUCAUAUCAGUAGGGGUGGGAGAAAAAAAUAAAUGCAGCAUAGUAUUGCGAUAUUUUGUCUGAUGAAAUAUAUCGUCUCAUUUACCAAGUAUCAAUUUUUCAUAAUGUGCUACAUGAAAAUAAAACACAGUGUAAAUAAGACAAACAUAAAGGAAAGACAAAGGUUAAAUUAGCUUAACCGUUAAAAAAAAUGUAUAAAGUGCAAUAUAUUGUAGUGCAAUACUCACUGUACUGCAAGUAUCCCAAGUAUCGUGAUAAUAUCGUGGGGCCACUGGUGAUUUCCACCCCUAGUAGUAAUGUCCACAAUGUGUUUUUCGAUUUAAGAGUCUGCUUUAGUUCUGAUUUCUGAUAUCAAUCUUUUGCUUUCCGUUCACUGAAGUUAUCCCUGUAAGAUUACAAUCAGAUGUCCACCUUAAAUGAAACUGUACUUUUAAGGACGGUUUGGUUGCUGUUCCCUCAGACGAUAUGGCUGUUUCGUUUCAAUAAAGUGUUGUAGAAAACAGCACAUGGGUAACAGAAAGCAUGCAGUGAAAAUCAAGACUCAGAUUGCUCUUCAUUAAACGAUCUGACCCCAAAACAUUAGAUUUCAGCGAUUCUAUUGCAUUUAGCAUCUUUUCUAUCAUUAUUGAGAUGACGAGGGAUCAAAUCGAUUCUGUGUCAAAUUAACUUGAGGAACACCAGACUGCCCGGCUUUCUUCGGCUGUUUGAGUCUGUGUGUUUCCAGAUGUGUUUACGUUCACACAAAUGAAAUUAAUGUCUAUGUGCAGGCAUGUGUGUCUUCAUAAACAGCUGUGAUCGUGCCCUUUGUGUGCACGUGUGUUUGUGUGUGUGUGUGUGCUGCAGCAUGCUGAGUUUGUCUGUAUUGAGCUGUUGGUGUAAUUUGAAGAGCUCUACUGAGAGGCUCCUAACCUGGACCAGAGCAGACAGACGGCGGUCAGUGGUCACCGAGAACAGACGGUUAAAGGGACAAUCUGCUCUAAAACAUAAGUCAGCCUGCAGAGGUUAUGGAUGCUGCAGGCUCAUCGGUCAGAAGGUGCCUCCACUCUCAGGCUGCCCCUUGAGAAAAGCCUUUGAGCUCCCCAUUACUCCAGCGCAAUGAUGAUCACACUCGCUGCUGGGAGCUGCUGUAGGGAGUGAAAUCAAACAGCUGCAUGGCGUGACUGAAGCGCUUUGCAAACUUUCUUUAAAAGAGUUGAAGCCAUCAGACAAAGGGAUGUGUGGCUAAACCAGCUGCUAUCUCAACAGCUCUUUGUAUUUUUCCAAAGAUAAUUUCACUUUCUAUGAAUCUGUGAAUCCAUGACUGUGUUUCUGCAGUUAGCAGCUCAAAAAUAAUCCGACAGCUCAGUUGAUUUGCACCUUUCUCAUGUUUAGCGGCUGAGUGUUAGUAGCUGAAAGCCCUUUGCUGCUUGUCAGCCCCACCCUCCUCUGUUCUUUCUUUUACUGUAAAUGCUUUAAUAUCACAAUUAUAAUUAACUUUUUUUUCCCGAGCUCACGUUGCGAUACAGAAACAAUUCUCUAUUUGAACUGAUUUACAGUUCUCGUGUUAUUACGUAGAGGAUUUAUUUCAGUCUGCUGUGAUUUAUUAUCACUGUAAUACUUCAAAGGAAAAUGUUUUGGAGUUUGUACAGCUUAUAAUGUAAAUACACUUUUUAAAUGAUUUUUUUAACAAUUACAUUAUUAUAAUUUCUCUUGUUUUAAGGGCUUAGUGUCUGUCAGCAGAAGUUUAUUUAUAAUUUUGCAUAAAAUGGCGCUGUAUGUUCUGGAGUUUUAUUGAUCUACAGUGCACUCACCAUAUCUUACUGACGAACAGUGAAGGUGCAGGUCUUUUAAAAAUGAAACUGGCGAGGUGGUACUUUGGGUUGCCUUAUCACUCAGUACAUUUACAUUACGCUCAAGAAAACCAAUUUAUUGCCUAACUCUGAUUAAGACCAGACAACUGAAGUGCAUGUAAACACCUUAGUCUGACUACAAUCAAAGUUUGAGAACUCUGAUUGGAGUCGGAGAACUCCAAAAAAGACACCCAGAUAAUGUGAUUGGAAUUCGAUUUUCUCUACCAUGUAACCAGUGUAGUCGGAGUAUGAUUGGACAAUGCAUGUGUGUGUGCACCACAGCCCCGUUACCCCAGAACAAAAACACCAGUUAAGAAGUGGCAUACACUUCAUCUCUAGAAAAAGGAAACGCAUGCAUCAUGUACGAUGCUCCAUUUUCUUGCUUGAAACUGCCCAGCAGCAGUUGUAGCCACUUCCGACAUCUGGCAUGUCUGGAUGUUUUCGGUCAUUCUGUUUAUUUCUCCUGUUUACUUCUCCGGUAACUUACAGGAGUGAGCAGGAAAAGCUCGACUCUGAUUGGCUGUUGUGACGCACGUUUCCGCCAUGUUUGAUCGAGUAAAUAUGCUCACAGCUGAUCACCGUGAUCGAACUGAAAUUUAUCACGAUCAUCGAUCACGAUCAUAUAAUCGCCCAGUCCUACUACAGAGGCUGGUGUACAGCAAACCAUGCCAGCAGCAGGUUUGUCACGUGUAAACUGGCUGCUGGUGAAACUAAAAGAAAGAUUUUUUUAGCUGACUUUUGGACUUCUCAAAUUGUUCAACAUUUAUCCCAAUUUUUGAUUGGGACAGAAUAACUUUUUGCCCCAAGUGAAGGAGUUGGAGUACCUCGGGGUCUUGCACACAAGUGAGGGUAAAAUGGAUCAUAGGAUUGACAGACGGAUUGGUGCAGUGUCAGCAGUACUGCAGGCGCUGGACCAGGCUGUCGUGAUGGAGAGGGAGCUGAGCCAGAAGACAAAGCUUUCGAUUUACCAGUCGAUCUUUGUUCCAACCCUCACCUAUGACCAUGAGCUGUGGGUCAUGACCGAAGGAAUAAGAUCGCAGAUACAAGCGGCUGAAAUGAAUUUCCUCUGAAGGGUGGCUGAGCUCAGCCUUAGAGAUAAGGUUAGAAGCUCGGACAUCCAGAGGGAGCUCAGAGCUCAGCCGCUGUUUCUUCAAAAAGGAGUCAGCUGAAGGGGUUUGGCACUUGAUAAGGAUGCCUCCCAACAGAGCUGUUCCAGGCACGGCCAAAGGGAAGGAGACCUUGAGUUAGGCCCAGAGCUCACUGGAGGGAUUACAUAUCCCAGCUGACCUGAGAGCACCUUGGGAUCCCACUUGGAGAGCUGGAAAAGAUUGCUGGGAAAAAAAGGAGAUUUGGGUUGAGGUGCUGAGACUGCUGCUCCCACAACCCAGAUAAGCAGAAGAAAAUGGAUUGAUGAUGGGAAUUAUUCUAAUGUAGCAAACUGAAGACUCUAAUCUUCAAACUGUGCUUGGUCAUCUUGUUAAAAUAUGCUAGAGGUAGUUGAAUGGAGGUUUGUGUUAUCCAGUAUGGCCCAAGGCUGCCCACAGGUUGACUUUGGUUCUCUUUGCAUAAACAGUUUGAGGUCAUUAUCAUUCUCAGUAGAACUGCUGCUUCCUCAUAACAGGAGAAUUUAUCAAACAGAACAAAAGGGAGAAGAAAAAUUGAGAUUUUCUCUUCUUUAAUUUUGUGUUUCUGAGAUAAAAGCCUUGAGUUUCCUUUGAGUGUAAAUAUCACUCAGACACAAUGAUGGGGUAAAUGGGUCCUCCCAACAAUCUUGCAUCAAACCUAGUAACACAAGAGUAUUUUUGGAUGCAUCACUGCACUAUAAAGCAUCAUAUGCAUUUUUACAUUAACUGACAAACAAACAUGGGAAAGGCACAUUAAUUCAAACACAUAAAAAUGUAGCACAUUUGAAAUCCAAUACAACAUCUCCAUUCUUCAUGCACAUGAAUUAAUAUACCUCAGAGCGAUGGUGACUUGAGGAUUCAUCCUGAGCAGGUCUGGCCAGCGUUUGGUGUUUUGAUGUGCAUUCGCUGCAUCUCUCUGCCCUGGCCUUUAGAGGAUGACUCGUCUCAUCUGAAGCCACUCACAGCUAAAUGUCCCAUCUGGUAACAUUUCCACGUUUCUCCGCCUUAAAUCAAUAGCAAUAAUUUUCCUAAGACCCUGAUGCGCACACUCACACACACACAUAUACACAAGGACACACACACACACACACACAGGUCUGCUUCCCUUUGUCUCAGCAGUCAUUUAAUUUGAUCGUCAUUUGUGUGGAUCGCUGUCAUUUAAGAGAUCGGCUUUGAAUGUGCACUUUGAACCAAAACAGUAUGCCUUUUUUCGAUGUGCACGACAAAUCCUUUUCAUAGUUUUGUCACACAAUUCAAUUCCUUGAUUGUUACUCGUCCAAUCGUUUUGAUUUGUGCUUUAUCUUUUCAGCGCUUUGACUAUUCAUAGAAAAUCCAUACACCAGCGCUCUGCUGCAGACGCAUACACAAGCACCGGUCUCCAUUUUAGCUCACUCCUGCUGCAGGUUGUGUGAUGGCCGACGCUCCGCUUAGAGGUGCAACAUAUCGAUGCAGCUUUCUCAAACAUGCAUUUGAAGACACGAGACUGCAUAAACACACUGUCACACACACACAUUAACACACUCUUUACUCUGGCGGACAUGCAAACCCACUCCGCUGUGCGCUGCGAUUGAUUUAGGACUGGUGGAGCCGAGCGAACGGUGAGUGAUGCUUCGUUAUUAAUGUAUCCAAAUAAGAUAAUUACUCAGGCCUUCUGCUCCUCUGCCAGUCAGCCAGUUAGUUAAACACGCGUCGGGGAUUAUGAUGUCAGCCAGAUUAAAUGAUCAAUUACACGUGCUGAGCAGAGAGCACGCUCCCUCUCUCCGACGUACACACAAAUACACACGUACAUAUGCAAGCAAGGCAUGACUGUGUGGAUUUUGUGUCUAUGUGUGUGUGUGUGUACUGAAUGUGUUUGUGUGUUGGUCAGUGGCCGGUUGGUCGGGGGGCCCUGGCUUUUGACCUCGAACUCGGGGGUCAGGCAGCAGACGGCCGGCCAGCUGGACAUUUCCAUCUCAAAGACCCCUGAGGACCCCUCAGCUCUCUCUCCUGUGCAUGCACACACACACAAACACACACACACACACAGAACCUCUAAGAUCCCCUCCCUCCUUUUACUUGUAUCUCAUUUUCUCCUGCUGUGGACGGUUGGAUGGUUUAUGAGUGCGGAGGAGCUGCAGCCAUUCAUUUCUCCCUAACUGGGGGUCUAAUGGAGAGGUCUACGCAGGAAACCUGAGCUCUCACUGAGUAAUGAGCCGCCCUUUACUGUCCACUGUGUGUGUGUGUGUGUUAUUGGUGUGUGUGUGCUCUGGCCGGCCAGGCUCUGACCCUGUAAAUGAUGUCUCUCCUCCCCUCAUCCUCAGCGGCUCUUUACUGCUAAUAACCUCUGAUCAGAUCUUAGAUGGCCAAGCCCUCCGCUGGGCCUGGACUACCUCCAACCCAAUGGCCCACUAAUGCGCUCCAAUCAACCGUGGGCUUCUCUAUUGGAGGUUGAUACGUAGGGAUCCUUGGCAAGUUUGGCUGAUGCCCCCUCAGACCCAGUCGCCCCACAGAAGCCUCACUCACUAUUUACUCACCUUUACCUCCCCUGAAGAAGUGGUAAGACUGGGCAGUAGCAUUGGUGUGUACGGGGGGAGGGAACGGUAGUGAGCCGCUUCUCUACAGUCUAAUGCAGUUAGCAAGGGGCCAAUCAGUCAUCCCGACCAAUACUAACCAUGUCGCUGGGCCACUCCUCCCAUCUUCCCCACACAGGAGCCACACAGAGCAGCACUGUACAUUUACCUGCAAUUAGAUUUAGCCCAGUAUCCUGCUGGGAGAGAUGGAGGCCCCUCAGAUCUCAGCAUGGCAACAACUGUCACUGUGCGUAUUCACAAUGAGAGGGUGGUUAUAGGAGAUUGGAAUCCAGGGUGAGCGAUCCCAAACCAGUGGAGGGGUUUUGUCUCACCAUGAGGGGGUCACUGUGCUUUGAUUAAUUUUAUCGAUUUAAAAUAUUUGUUGAUAGUGUUGGGUGGUAUGAUAGUACAUACCGUGUGACGGUAUAAAAGUGUCUACCGGGAAGCCCAUCCGUUUGGGUGCGUUUCCGUAUAUUUACCAGCGUUUCGUGCAGAGUUUGUUCGCUUUGUUUGAUUAGUCAGGUUUGGGUGCGCUCCCGAUAAUCACUGGCGUGUCCAGCAGACUGCUUGGCAUAGUUUGGAUAAAGAAGAAACAGCUUCACUGGUGGUAGUCAUGGCGGACGCGGAGAUUAGUGGCAGUAUCGAGCAAAUGGAGGCAGCCCAACCCACCCAACUUGAGGAAGUGGAGGAGGAACUCGUUCUGAAAAAAGGCACGAGUCGAGACAUUGGUCGUCUGGAGAUUCUUCGGAUUUAGAAAAUAUGACAAUGAUCAAAAAACAAUACUAUGCAAAGAGUGUAUGCAAUGGCAUUCGUAGCUGGAGGAGGAAACACCUGCAACCUCUUCCACCACCUAAAGAUGAAACAUGCCAAACUCUAUUAGGAGAGCCAAAAGAUGUGUGGCGCACCCGCUGCACCAAAAACUGAAGCUGCAGCAGCUCCUCUCAUUCGAAAGAGCUUGGCAGAGUCUUUGCCAAAGGUACGCUGUAUGAUAAAAAUUGCCAAACUGGUCUGUCAUUUUGUUGGAAUUUGUUUACAAAUCCGAGUUUUAAAAUAAAAGCAAAAUUAUCAAAAUGUGACAUUAUGGUUAUUUUUAAGCCGUUAAUUGAGUUUACAGGGGGAAAAAACAUACACCAGGAAAUUACUCAUACCGUGAUAUAAGAUUUUGUUCAUACCGCCCAACAUUAUUUGUUGAUUUAAAAAUGAGUCAUUUUGACAGCCAAAUAAUGAUCCCUCCAUGCCACUUCAUUCUUAACUGCUUCCUUGCCAGCCAUACUAACAGUAAACUUCACAUUUUCAGUCAAACAUGAGCAUUUUGAACUGAUAUUCCGAAUGACCCCUGCACCUGAUGAUGGUUUUCUGCCUUGUAACUUUUAUAUUCAUAUUCUGUUCUAUUUUGUGUUGUCUUUGCACCUGUCUUCAAUUGCAAGACUCCUCUUUCAUUCAGCUCCUCAUGUUCUUUUUUUUUAACCCUGUUUCUGAGCAGAGAUAUUUGUGUGACCACCAUCUAUGACUCUGAAGUUUUCGCUUCAAUUAGUAAAUAUUUUUUUGAAAUCCUUUCUAUGCAAAGAUGCUGUUGGGAAUUUGCGUUUUUGUGACAGUGUCGAAAGGCAGAGGUGAAAUGUGCCAGUGAUUGAUUGAGAUAACUUGUGGGAUCAAAUUUUCCCUGCCAAGAAAUACAACACUGAUGCUAUCGUAUUUUGAUCAGUCAGAAACAAGUGUUUAUGGUUUUCAACAUAUUUAUUACACGGCUGUGUCGACUCUGACGGGUCAUCAAUGGCUGCUGCUCUUUUGCAGACCUGCUCAGAAGCACACACUGCAAAUACGCAUGCAGCUCUAAUCACUGGGUGGACUAACUAACUAACUAAAAGAUUUUCUUUAAAAAGUAUAUGGCAGAGAGUAAAGUAAAUGGGAAACAAUAGCAUUUAACAAGGGUAAUUGAGAAAGAAAAUGUCAAUGCACUAAACAGUGAUAAGGCAGGAAAACUAAAUGGGGUACUGUGGUGAAACUUGGGUCAUUAAUUUUGUUCUGAGUUUACCUUUGCUAAAACAACAGCUACAAAUACAUAAUUUAAAGGAAUAUUUCAUCAGCAAAAAACUUAAUAUCAAAUCAGGUUAAAAUCAGAUCAAAUUAUUCCUUUAGGAAGUUGCUGUGUUAUAACUGAGACGAUCUUUCAGAAUGAAAUCCAAUAAAACUUUGAUUAGAAUAAAACUGCUAAUCUGCUUUGCUAAAAGGAUAAUUAAUUCCUUUUCUUUUCAAACUAAAUAGUCGAUUGUACCCACUGAGCAUUUAUUGGUCUAAAAGAGGUCUAAUAGACGUCUUAAUGUAGACGACUGGUCUGAAAUGAGGCUACCACAGGUCUAAAAAUUAAAGUUUUUUAGACGUCUAAAUUUAGACCAAGUCUAAAUUUGGGCUAUAUCUAUACUACACUGUAUAUUACUCAAUGGCUAUAAUAAUUAUUUUGGUUACAUACCUGGAGAUCAGUUAUGCAACUCACAGUUGCUAUUUAAAAUAAAUAGUUAUCAAAUAAUGGGUUAAAGUGCAACGUCUAAAUUCCAUCUAAAAAUAUACAGAAUCUAGACAGUUGAAAUUAGAUCUAAAAAAGUAGAUGUCUAAUAGCCGUCUGCUGCUUAGUGGGUAGUCUGGAAGACAUUUUUCUCAUGACUCAGAAUCACACAAGAACACUUUGAAGAAUUAAACCGUAGGGAUUUAAGGCCAUUUUAUCUUUAAGCACCAGAUCAGAAUAGAUUUCAUCAGAAACCCUGUAAUUGUAAUAGGAAAUAUUUAGAUCAUAACAUUCAAAUGUGGUAACGUAAACCCAUCUACUUGUCUGCGUUCUAUGUUUCUUUUAGACACUCACUGUGUAUUAUCCUGUUUGUAAAUCCAUGAAGUUCUUCCACUGACUAAAUUUGCUCGUUUUCUGUCCCGGCUGCCAGCAGAGCAGUAUUAAUGAUACCACUUAAACACUCACAGAGGUCGUACGGUUUUGUGUUCUGUCCUGUGUGCCUUUUGUGUGUGUUUGUGGGUGUGUGUGUGUGUUAGUAACAUAUUAAAGACUGGUGCAGCUUGGUGACAGCCCAGUAGUGUUUACCUGGCCCUUUGCUGAGGUGCUGGAUGGAUAAUGAUUUAACCAUUGAAGAUUAGUGAUCAGAUGAAUACAAUGGAGCGGCUGAUAGCUGCCUCUGUCUGUUUGCUCUGUCCCUACUGGGAACAAGGCAGAUCACACACAUACACUCUUUUACUCACACACUCACACACACAUUACAUUAGUCUAAUCCCAUGUCUCCAAGCCCAGUGCUAAACUCAAUGUAAGCAUGCACAGGAGCGCCUUAACUAGAGUGAGUGUGUGAACCUCUGCUGUGUAAACACGCCUGCAGUUUCGUGGGGAGGCUCUCUCUGCCUCGUCAGGAUGCACACACACAGAUUCCAUUCCCUCGUCCCUGAACCCCCUCCUCCUCCUCUCUUCGACUUCCCUCGCCUCUCUUCUCUCCUUUCGUCACCAAUUGCUCCUUUCUUCACCUCCAAUUCUCUCUUCUGCUCCCCCACUUUUUCACUGUGAUUUACAGCUCCCUGGCCCCUCCCCACACCUCGGCAGCACAUUAAGAGCAUUUAAACUGUGGCCGUUACUAAACAGGGGUCUUUAUGGAGCCGCUCCGCACAUCUAAAGCCCAUUACAGCUACAUCAAAGUGGGAUAACAAUGACUAAUGAACAAUAGAUAUCAUGAGAGACUGUGCCAAAUCAGUAUUCACUGUUUCCACGAGGGUGUGGGUGUGUGUAUGUGUAUGUGUGUGAGCAAUCAAAUCUCCAUUAACUUUCUCUUGCAAUAAAUGUGAGUCUGUGGGUUGUGCACCAGGCUGUUGAUGUGUGUAUCUUGGGUUGCAGUUAUGUGUUUUUGUUUGUGAAAAUUGCACUGCUACAAUCACAGGAACAAACCAUGUGAAGAAUAUUUUUACCCACGAGCGUACAGUCUGGUCUUGGAUUAAAACAGCAGGGAACAAACACAUAAUAAUCCCCCCCAACUCCAACAGGCAGCUUUAGCACUGCACUCCUACCUUCUCACCUGAACAGAAACCACCCUCGCUCUUUCCCGUCUCGGAGAGCUCUGAGCCUCUGUGAGUGUGGAGGUAUUUUGAGGGCUUUGCCCAGCGCUGCACCGCUGAAUAGAGAAGGUGGGAGAUGCGUCCCAUAAUCCCAUAAUGGCAGGUACAUGAUGACAGGGGGGACCUGUGUAAUCCUCUUUCUGAUGCAGCUAUCAUUGUCCCUACCCCAGCCACUUUCCCUACUAAUCCCUCCACCUGCACCUCAACCCAGCACCCAAACACACACAGAGGAACACACCGAAGUGAGCUGUACUGAUCGGACUGAUUGUUGCAUAGUUUGCACCAAUAAUCGCACAAAAAAAGGAAUAUUGAUACUCAUUAUUGUCAAUUUCAGUCAUCGGUUAUCACACAAUACCAGUCAAUAAUGAAAGUGAUGGUUAUUUUAUUUUUUCCCACAUUGUGUCCACAUACAGAUCCACUCAUAGACUUCCACCUGCACUGGCUCUGAAGCAGACUUGUUCAGGUAUAGUACUCACAAACUGCCCACUCAUACUGCAAACAGAGCAAAUUAAAGCUCCUAUGAGGAGUUCUUGGUGGGUGAUGAAAUCAACUAAAAUGUACAGUAAUGUGUCUCUGUGAUGUGUAAAAGCAAAUUGCACCAUUGAUGACAAAAUUAACCAUUUCUUUAUUGUAAUUUUGAAUGUCUGUAACUGCUGUUAAGGUGGAGGUACGCUGAAGUAUUCACGGUGAGGCAGGGCUCAACAGUGCGACUAUUUCACUCACAUUUGCAACCAAAAACAGAUGUGUGCGAAUUGUAAAAUGCAUUUAGGGGCACAUGUGCGCAAUACAUAAUUAGCCGAGGCAACAAAUGUUUUUUCUUGUAAGUACUGCGGUGAAGUUAGUUUUAAGUUGGCUAUUUGACGGACGUUCACUGCGGAUCUGCCAGUGUCUUCUCACUCUCCUUAACUGGGAAUAGCAACAGCAGGGCGGUUAAAUCUACUCGGCAUCCUCGCUGUCAAUGUCGGGUGUUGAAUGAGGGACUGUCAAUAAAUUACUGGUUGGUUUUCUCAGAGAGGGCUGUUUUCCUUCAAUAGCUUCCAUAUCAUGUGACCAAUUGACCUUAAAAUUGAUUUCAAAUAAUCGAACUAAGAUCGGACAAUAGACACACCUCUUUAUUUUCCAAAGUCGCCCUCUAAAAAAAAAUUUCUACAAGAGACCUAAAAUUGAUUACCAAUGAUAGUACUUAGGUCAACACAUUAUUUGAUCAGUUUUCAUUGUGCCCCUAAAUUUCUUUGUGUUCUCCUUACUUUUUCAACUCAAAAGCUUAUGUGCUCCAAGCCCUGUGAGGGAAUAAUUUCACCUUAAAAAGAAAACAGGGGGAGGUUUUUGUCACUUUAACACAUGAGACAAAACCAGAUAGAAUGCAAGAGUUAUUACUUUGUCCACAGGGGGCGCCAUAGUCAACACAGAAAAUUCCUCGCAGGAUCUUUAAAUAAAGUUCUCCCCCAAAAAGAUAUUUGAAAGCUUAUUUCAAGAGUUUAAAUGUUUUCAUUUGUUUGUAAAAUGCAUUUUAAGAUGAUGACACACAGGCCUGUUUGGUACCAUUUUUUAAUAAGAUAAAACAAGAAGAACUUUAUUGAUCCCCAAAGGGAUAUUCAGUCAUAUAUAUAUGUAAUGUAACAUAUAUGAAAGAGACCCAUGAGAGAAAUUGGAUGACAGAGUAAAUAGUUAGGGGAGGAAUAACUGUGCUGCUAAAACCAAUGUAAGAUUGAUCUGAUUUAAUGAUGAACAGUUUUGGCAAGGUUGCUUCAUUUGCAAAUGUCGACUACCCUUGAAAAAUCCACUGUCACUCAGUUGACCCUGCUUGCUUGACUUCACCUUUGUUAUGAGGCUUAUCUAUACAUUUGUCUCUGAUUGGCUCAUCUUAAAACCUUAACUUUUUUAUCAAGUUUAGGAGACUUUCAAAUUUCAAACAUUGUUAGACUUUCUCUUAAAACACCAUUUUGUCCUCAGAUUGUGGCUUAAAGAAAAACCGCUGUUUUGUGUCUGUGUGUAUGUCUCGAGUGUCGUCACAGUUUAAGAAUACAUGUCUAAAGGUUUGAAAACACAAAACACACCCACAUACUGUACAUGCCAUCAUUUGUACUUUCACUCAUACACACACACACACACACACACACACAGGCUAGCAGGGACCUAUUGAACACAACAGUAAGCCGCUCACAGCCACACACACACACACAGAAAAGAGAGGACACUCUCUUGUUGACAUAAAAUAUAUAAUCCUUCCCCUUUCAGAGAUAUAGAUUUUCAGGCACAACUAAAGGACAGCAAUCCUUGACCUAACCACUGAGCGCCUUGUUAAAUCUUCACACACUGUGCACUGCUCACACAUCACUUUUAACAAGAGGAGCCUGGUUAUUAAAUAUAGUUCCUCCUCUGAUGUGAGUGGCUUAGGGUAUCUUAACUGAUCAAGAGGGAGGACCCCUUUCAAAGUGUUAGCAAAGUUUCAACUAAAAACUUAUACAAUAUAGUAGUGCAUGUAAAAUCAGAGAAUUGCUCUUUACUUGUUUAUAACUCAGCUUGUAUAAAACAUCUUCAUCUGAAUAAAUUUAAGAUUUAGAACUAGAAUGAAAAUGAGGUUUAGUUCUCACACUGUGCUCCUUUUUUUUCAUUUUCACCUGUUAUAAUAACAGGUUUAAAGUUAGCGCAUGUUAAAGCAGAUACACGUAAAAACUAACCGUCACAACUAAAGACAUCAAAUAAAAAUCGCCCAGUGGGUUCUUUAUGAAGAAAAUUCUCAUUAUCUGACAGACACAAGCACAUCCAACAGAAAGUCAUUAAUAUAAUCAAUAAUAGAAAUAAGCACAGCCUGACCAACAUGUCAACAAGCCAAAUGAAGCUCACAGACAUCAUGACCAUAUUUUGCACUCUUAAGUGCAUGAAAAAUAAAAGCUUUUUAAUAUCAAUACACCAGAAAUAGCCAACUCCAGUCCUCUUCAGAGAGGCCAGCGGUAUGUGGAAAAAAAAGAUCAUUUGUUCAGAAACACUCAGCCUGUCUUUAUGUGAGCUGGAUGUUCAAUCUGUGCCAAACAAAAGCAUCUUCCUUUUUUAUUUACCUCAUAAAACCAUCCCCAGAGUCUACCUGCGAGCGCACUGACCACGGCGCCCUCGGGCCGAGGGGUCGUCGACCUUUCACCCUGACCCCCUCAGCUGGUCAAACUCUAACCCUGGAACAGAUGGAUAACGGACUCGAUGCUUUAUCUCCUCCUGACCACACUCUCCUUCUCCCCGCACUCACCGUCGGUUUUCCUUUCACCUCCAUUUUCCUUCAUCUUCACUUUCUUGCUCCUCAUCAUCUAAACUCUCAGAUCUUGAUUUACCUGUGCUCACCUGUGCGCUCUACCCUGUUUUCCCAGCACUUUUUUCACACUCCUUCUCAUGACUCCCACUGUUUAUUUUCCUCCUCUUUCCAUCCUCACACAUGGUGCUUCUUUUCUACUGUGUGUUUGUUUGUCAGCACUUCUCCUGGCUGAAUUUUGAGCUUUGUUAUCUGAAUAUCAGAGUGUAACAACGGCCGUGCCAAAAAGUGUAACACCCUGCGUCAAUUCCGGUUAUUGAACGGUGUUUAUUUAACAUUUUUCUACAUGCAUUGGCUCUUUUCCAAAUAUGACAUCUGAAAAAUACAGAAUUUUUGAUGCAGUGAUAUAAAAUAGAAAAAAGAGGAAAAUUAAAGGUGUAAUUCCCCUUUUUUCUUCAUGAUAACUUGCAAAAUACUAAACUAAACCUGGUUUUAAUGAUAAUUUAAUAAAAAAAAUAUAGUGUUUAUGAUAAAUCCUGUGACUCGGUUGAAUUGUUUCUAAUAAAAUGGUGACAAAGUCAUUAGUCAGAGUCUGAGUCAGCUCCUGCAUCUUUAAAUUAACAUUUCAUUGAAGCAGCAGAAUAAUAUUUUAGUAUGGUCUAAAUAACUCUCCAGAAUUCCCCCUCUUCUCUCCUCUUGUGUUAAUGCAUGGCAUCAUUAUAAACAUUUAUGCAGCGCAGGAGCCUCUCGUGCCAAAGGGGCUGACGCUCUUGCGGAUCGAACCUUUCGAUUGAUACUGAAACAAUUUGCAUACUGAUUCUCUUUCAGUGCGCACGGAUCCAUAACAACACCGGCCAGCUAUUCAAAUGCGCCUGCAUCGAGAAAAGCAGGGAGAGAAGCCCGGCACCGGAGCAGGAGGGAAACACGGGCUGUUUUUUACCGGACGGAUCAUUUGCUUAAACUUGAAGCGGAGAAGUCAUCUCCAUGCAGCCGCUGUGAGGAUGUUUACCGCAGGCUGGACUGUGUGUGGACUCCGAAGCUGGGGAUCGGAGGAGGAGGAGGACGAGGGAGAGAGAGGGUGGGACGGGAGAAACACACGGAGGAGACGCGCGGAUGUGAGCACGUCCCUCCGCUUCUUCUUCCAGCUCGUGUUUGUUGGAGUUAAAAGAGUCCAAGUAUAGGCUGUAGAUGUUUCAGCUCUGUGGUUGGGAGAGAGCUGGGCGGCUGUUAAAGAUGCAUGACAGAAACGGAUGCUGCGGUAAAGUCGGGGACUACAUCUGAGAGUGUGUGUGUGGGUGUGUUGGUGUGUGUGCGUCCUUUUGUACAGUGCGUGCGCGGUGUGUUUUCUGUGUGUGGCGCCGAGGAGAAGAGAAGUUUUAACGCAGACAUUUUGCACUCUGGCACCCUGUUGAGAAGAAAGAUGGAC
Molecule: non-coding RNA, 44287 nt
Organism: Xyrichtys novacula (pearly razorfish)
Lineage: Eukaryota; Metazoa; Chordata; Actinopteri; Labriformes; Labridae
Source: the annotation of a GenBank genome assembly